This 319-nucleotide long non-coding RNA is filed under the name Elaeis guineensis (African oil palm). RNAcentral's name for it is "long non-coding RNA (EGUI_LNC017252)". Lineage: Eukaryota; Viridiplantae; Streptophyta; Magnoliopsida; Arecales; Arecaceae. The record is from RNAcentral.
GAAGUGAUCGACUAGGCUAUACUUAAAGUGGUGACCGAACUAAGACCAGCAUCGUAGAGAGCUUGUUCAGUCAUCAGCUCUCUCUGCGAUAGGACCGCCAUGUCCUUCAUUCGGUGGAAGUCUUUCCGAUCGUUGACCUCCAUCCGACUGUUCUCAUUAGAGCCGGUCCUUGGAUCACCCCAGCAUGAAGGAAAAACCCAGGAAAGAGAAGAAGCAACAAAGAAGAAUUGAUUCUUCCAUCCAUGAAUAGAUGAUGGAAGACCGGUGACGAAGGAUAGAUAUUUUUUUUUGGUUGAAGAGCCACCAACCCUUGGCCUUA